Molecule: ribosomal RNA, 468 nt
Filed under: uncultured bacterium
Lineage: Bacteria
Description: partial 16S ribosomal RNA
Rfam family: Bacterial small subunit ribosomal RNA
Source: RNAcentral
GACGAACGCUGGCGGCGUGCUUAACACAUGCAAGUCGAACGGAAAGGCCCUGCUUUUGUGGGGUGCUCGAGUGGCGAACGGGUGAGUAACACGUGAGUAACCUGCCCUUGACUUUGGGAUAACUUCAGGAAACUGGGGCUAAUACCGGAUAGGAGCUCCUGCUGCAUGGUGGGGGUUGGAAAGUUUCGGCGGUUGGGGAUGGACUCGCGGCUUAUCAGCUUGUUGGUGGGGUAGUGGCUUACCAAGGCUUUGACGGGUAGCCGGCCUGGGAGGGUGACCGGCCACAUUGGGCCUGAGGUACGGCCCAGACUCCUACGGGAGGCAGCGGUGGGGAAUAUUGCACAAUGGGCGGAAGCCUGAUGCAGCAGCGCCGCGUGCGGGAUGACGGCCUUCUGGUUGUAAACCGCUUUCGCCUGUGACGAAGCGUGAGUGACGGUAAUGGGUAAAGAAGCACCGGCUAACUACGUG